RNAcentral lists this long non-coding RNA (905 nucleotides) under Mytilus galloprovincialis (Mediterranean mussel). Lineage: Eukaryota; Metazoa; Mollusca; Bivalvia; Mytilida; Mytilidae. The record is from RNAcentral.
AAUAAUAACAGUAAACAGAUUCACAACAAUGUCAAUUUCAAGAAAGCAGACAACAGUUAAUUAGUCAAUAACAGUACAGCAACAAUGAUCUUGAAUAUAUGCCACUUUUAACUAAAAUAUAAAGGCACAGAAACAGGACAUAGGAGCACAGAACCAGGACCGUUUUUCUUAUCACCAGCACAGCGUCAGGACAAUUCCGUUUAACGAACUUGCACGACUUUUGCAAUAUAAUAUUGUUGUAAUAUACUUUGCAUGGUACUUAUGACGCAUCAGAGAAAAAUUAAGCAACAAAACUGUCGUUUUAUUGCCGUUCUGAUACAAUGUAAACAAACCCACCAGCACAGAAUCAGGACCCACCAGCACCUGACAGGACCAAAUCACCAGCACAGAACGUUCUCUCGCAGGACAACCAUACCCACCGUGUUGUCACGGAAAUAAAAACUUAUGAUUUGUAAUGUUGACAAAAUCCUGAUCCCCUCUCACUUAAGGUAUUAUAAUACAAAUAUGAUAAUCUGAGGCGCAUUAUACAAAUAAAAGUUCUUAUAAUUCUUAAAAAAUAAAUGUUUAUGUGCCGUGUUUCUUUAAAACAAAGAUAUGAUCGGACGAUGACCUUCCCCCCAGCUGACCAAAGAUUCAAUGUGUGUGUUAGAAGCACCUCCGCGCAAUACAUCAAACAUGUUAUACAAACAGACCCAGAACGACUAAUGAAGUAAUUUCAAUUAAGAAAAAAAAACAACAAAAAAAAACCAAUAAUAAUCCAUGGGAAAAAAUCAAAAUAAAUCAAAAAUGAAAAAUAUUUAAUAUAUGUGUAGGACUCUGAACCGCGAUGGUCACGAUGAUGUGCAAUGGUUUUACGCUGAUGUGCGAUGGUAGCAUUGUGACGCUAUCUUGUUGAUAGAUACGCC